GGAGACGUGGGCUGGAGGGACGCGGAGCAGGGCCGUGCUUCCUGAACCCUCUCGACCCCUUCCUUCCUCCCCGCCCGCCUCGCAGGCAAUGAGAGUGACUACGAGCCUAACGGGGCCGAGUGCUACAGCUGCGUGGGGCUGAGCCGCAAGGAGUGCCAGGGUACGGCGCCGCCCGUCGUGAGGUGCUACAACGCCAGCGACCACGUCUACAGGGGCUGUUUCGACGGCAACGUCACCUUGACGGCAGGAACGCCCUGGAACGCUCCACUCGCCCAGCCGGGCCUUCUCCUUCUGGUCGCUCCGAGGCACGGAAGGCGGGGCCUGCUUCACGGGACAGAUCACUCGAAGCCCCGUUGGUUGAUACGAAAGCGUCUGAUGAGCUCAUUGGAUGAGCCUGGAGGAACGCCACACCCCAUUGGCCUAUCCCUGGCUGCCUUGCCAGUUGCAAGAAGGCAGAUGCGAUGGGAUCUACAGCACCUAAAAUAGUGCCUGGCACACAACGGGCAGCUCAUUAGACCUUGAGUGAAGUCACUGAGGUUACUCUGUGCCAGCUCUCUCAGCCCUUUGCCUGGAGUACCGGAUACAGCCUAGCAACUACCCAGCAGGGCUGCCCUAACUUGGCCAGGCCCAGCAUCGUUUAAAACACCCACCAGUGGAUUCCUGUCCUAUAGGAAUGUCCCCUGGACCACGCACCCUCUGUCUCCCCUUGAGCUGGACAUCUUACUGGCACCCUCACCUGAAGCGCCUACUGGGAGAAUCCCUGACGUCACACCUGCCUGAGAAGAAGAAACAGGGAAGGAUAAAAGUCCAACACUGCAGCGGCAGGACUAACAUCUUAGCGUUUACAGCACUGUGGAGAAAGCCGUCUUUCCUAGAAGCCACCAAGCAACGUACACCCACAGUGGUUUGAGCUGAGAAUGCACUCACCUUCAUCAAUAACAUCAGUUGUCAGGCCAAAAUCUUUCAAGAUAAUUCCACUUGACCUCACUUUAAUUGAAGUAAUAUAGAAAUGGAAUUGUUGAGUCACAUGGUAGGCAUAUGCUUAAGGUUUUAAGAAACUGCCAGACUGUUUUCCAGAGGGGUUGUGCCAUUUUACAUUCCCCACCAGCAGUGUGUGAGAGGUUCCAGUUUCUCCACAUACUUGCCAAUACUUGGUAUAGUCAAUCUUUUCCCUUUUAGCCAUUCUAAGAGUUCCGUGGUGGUAUCUCAUUGUAUUUUUUUCAUUGUAGCUUUAUUUUGUAUUUUUCUAGUGACUAAUGCUAUCGAGCAUCUUUCCAUGUGCUUAUUCACCAUCCGUGUAUCUUCGUUGGUGAAGUGCCUGUUCAAAUAUUUUGCCCAUUUUUUUAUUGUCUUCUUAUUGAGUUGUAAGCACUUUGUAUAUUCUAGUUGCAAGUCCUUUGUUAAAUAGAUGUUUUGCAAUAGCUUUCCCAGAAAUAAAGGCAUAUGAGGCAUAUGUCCAAAUAAAGACACAUGAAGACAUAUGAAUGUUAAUAGUAGCGUUAUUUGUAAUAGCCCCAAACUGGGAAACAAUGCAACCAAACUGUGAUAUAACCACACCAUGAAAUAUUACUCAGCCAUAAAUAGGAAUGAGCUAUUGAUACAUGCAAAAAUUUGAAUAUGAACUUCAAAAUGAUUCUGCCUAGCGUAUUUAUGAGGUUCAUCCAUGUUGUAGCAUGUAUCCGUACAUCAUUCUUUUUUGUGAUUGAAUAAUAUUCCAAUGUAUGUUUAUACCAGAAUUUGUUUAUCCAUUGACCCAUUGAUAGACAUUUGGGCCAUUUCCACGUUUUGGCUAUUGUGAAUAGUGCUGCUAUAACAUGUGUACAUGUAUUUGUUUGAGUAAGAGCUUUCAAUUUUUUUGAGUAUAUACCUAGGAGUGGAAGAAGCCAGACACAAAAAGUCACAUAUUGUAUGAUUCAUUUAUAUGAAAUAUUCAGAAUAAGUAAAUCCAUAGAGACAUAAUUGGUGGUUUCCAGGGGUUGGGGGAUGGGGGAAUGGAGAGCAACCUCGUAAUGGGUACAGAGUUUUAUUUGGAAGUGAUGAAAAUGUUUUAGAACUAGAUAGAGGUGGUGGUCAUACAACAUUGCGACUGCAUUAAAUGCCACGGAAUUGUUCACUUUAAGAUGGUUUAUUUUAUGUUAUGUGAAUUUCAUCUCAAUAAAAAAAUUAUACUGAAUGCAAGAAGCCAGAUGAAAAAAGAGAACAUACGAUAACAUUCCAUUUAUAUAAAUUCUAGAAAGUGCAAACUAAUCUACUGUAAGUGAAAGAAGGUAAAUGGUUGCCUGGGUACUGUGGGGGUGGGGCCGAGUGCAGAGGGAGGGAUUACAAAGGCUCAUGUGGAAACUUUUGGGUGGAAUGGAUACGUUCACCGUCUCAACUGUGGUGAUGACCUUAUGGAGUGUGUAUGCACAUCAGAACUCAUUAAACUGUGUACCUUAAA
Molecule: RNA transcript, 2437 nt
Organism: Balaenoptera ricei (Rice's whale)
Lineage: Eukaryota; Metazoa; Chordata; Mammalia; Artiodactyla; Balaenopteridae
Gene: LYPD3
Gene name: LY6/PLAUR domain containing 3
Exons: 5
Source: RefSeq, a predicted model, not a curated record